This 308-nucleotide transfer-messenger RNA is filed under the name Bacillota bacterium. RNAcentral's name for it is "partial transfer-messenger RNA". It matches the Rfam family "transfer-messenger RNA", at positions 1 to 306 of the family's 374-position model. From Rfam's summary of the family: Bacterial tmRNA, also known as 10Sa RNA or SsrA, is named for its dual tRNA and mRNA-like properties. Its role is to liberate the mRNA from a stalled ribosome. Lineage: Bacteria; Bacillati; Bacillota. The record is from RNAcentral.
GGGGGCGAACUAGAUUCGACGGGGAUGUCGGGGUGUCGAGCAGCGAGCCGAGGUCCGUUCCUCGUUAAACAGCGGAACAGCUUUAACUGCCAACAGCGAAGACGAACUCGCUUUAGCUGCUUAAGUCAGCUAACGUUCUCGGGUGGCCGCGCCUGGCCGGUACUCGCGACGUAAAAUGACAGGCUCACCGGGUGGGAGCUUCGACCGCUUAGGGACACGAUAGAAGCCGCGCUGAUUCAUGCGCAGCUCACCGCGCAGACGUUCUAGAUCAAUGCGGUCGUCGGGCGUGCGCACGAGCCAUCCAUCCG